RNAcentral lists this non-coding RNA (130 nucleotides) under pig gut metagenome. RNAcentral's name for it is "glmS glucosamine-6-phosphate activated ribozyme". It matches the Rfam family "glmS glucosamine-6-phosphate activated ribozyme aptamer". From Rfam's summary of the family: This entry contains a glucosamine-6-phosphate activated ribozyme that is found in the mRNA for GlmS. GlmS is an enzyme that uses fructose-6-phosphate and glutamine to generate glucosamine-6-phosphate. The record is from RNAcentral.
AUGAUUGAAGCGCCAGAACCCUAUGGGUUGACGAGGAAUGGAGUCAUCGAAACCAUCGGCGGAUACUCCAGAGGUAUCACAGCCUCAGGCACAGACAAAAACGCGGUGUGAGCUGCGGAACAAAACUGUG